UCAUUACCGAGUUUCCAACUCACAACCCACUGCGAACAUACCUACGUUGCUUCGGCGGUCCCCGGCUCCGGCCGCGCCGCCGAGGAACCCAAACUCUUGUUUUUCCAAUGUGUAAUUCUGAGUAUCUUGAAAUAAAUCAAAACCUUCAACAACGGAUCUCUUGGCUCUGGCAUCGAUGAAGAACGCAGCGAAAUGCGAAAAGUAAUGUGAAUUGCAGAAUUCAGUGAAUCAUCGAAUCUUUGAACGCACAUUGCGCCCGCUGGUACUCCGGCGGGCACGCCUGUCCGAGCGUCAUUUCAACCCUCAGUACCCGCCCUCACGGGCGCGGACUGGUGUUGGGGCCCGGCCGCCAUCACCGGCGGCCGUCCCCUAAAUUCAGUGGCGGUCACGCCGCAAUCCCUUGCGUAGUAACACACCUCGCACCGGAGAGCGACGCGGUCCACGCCGUGAAACCCCCAAUUUUCAAUGGUUGACCUCGGAUCAGGUGGGAAUACCCGCUGAACUUAAGCAUAUCAAUAAGCGGAGGAAAAGAAACCAACAGGGAUUGCCUCAGUAACGGCGAGUGAAGCGGCAACAGCUCAAAUUUGAAAUCUGGCUUUCGGGUCCGAGUUGUAAUUUGCAGAGGAUGCUUUUGGCGAGGUGCCUUCCGAGUUCCCUGGAACGGGACGCCAUA
RNAcentral lists this ribosomal RNA (673 nucleotides) under fungal endophyte. RNAcentral describes it as "eukaryotic LSU rRNA". The stretch from base 141 to 294 matches the Rfam family "5.8S ribosomal RNA". Lineage: Eukaryota; Fungi. The record is from RNAcentral.